RNAcentral lists this ribosomal RNA (425 nucleotides) under uncultured bacterium. RNAcentral's name for it is "partial 16S ribosomal RNA". It matches the Rfam family "Bacterial small subunit ribosomal RNA", at positions 354 to 796 of the family's 1533-position model. The record is from RNAcentral.
GUGGGGAAUCUUAGACAAUGGGGGAAACCCUGAUCUAGCCAUGCCGCGUGAUCGAUGAAGGCCUUAGGGUUGUAAAGAUCUUUCAGGUGGGAAGAUAAUGACUGUACCACCAGAAGAAGCCCCGGCUAACUCCGUGCCAGCAGCCGCGGUAAUACGGAGGGGGCUAGCGUUGUUCGGAAUUACUGGGCGUAAAGCGCACGUAGGCGGAUUGGAAAGUUGGGGGUGAAAUCCCGGGGCUCAACCCCGGAACUGCCUUCAAAACUCCCAGUCUUGAGUUCGAGAGAGGUGAGUGGAAUUCCGAGUGUAGAGGUGAAAUUCGUAGAUAUUCGGAGGAACACCAGUGGCGAAGGCGGCUCACUGGCUCGAUACUGACGCUGAGGUGCGAAAGCGUGGGGAGCAAACAGGAUUAGAUACCCGUGUAGUCC